RNAcentral lists this long non-coding RNA (669 nucleotides) under Dicentrarchus labrax (European seabass). Its description in RNAcentral is "lncRNA (ENSDLAG00005032525.1)". The record is from RNAcentral. Lineage: Eukaryota; Metazoa; Chordata; Actinopteri; Moronidae.
CAUUGAUCUGCCAUCAGGGACGGAGCAGAGAGACUCUGGACACGAGCCCAGGAGCAGCAGUGUGCAUUUCCAUGCUAUAAUCUCAUAGAUGCCAUUAAAACGCCUGGGCAGUGAGGACAGUUGAACACUGGCCCGGAGGCUGACAUGCUUGACAACAUUUUCAUCUCUGGUCAUUCAACGCCACCAGCUGAGCUCAACAACGCAAGACGUCAAACUAAACCUCACAAAAGAAACAAGAAAACAACAGCUAUAUAGUGCUGUAGCAAUACAGCCGACUUUCACUAUUCCCGUCUCGUGUUUCUAGUUGAUAAAAACCAAAUGUUUGUCAGAGGAAGAGCGGCAGAGUGGAUGUGAAGCUUUGUUAAUGCUCUGUCUUUAGAGCUUCUUCAGAGACGUGUGGACGAUGAUAAAACGGACUCUGAGAAUCUUCUGCAGGAGCUAUACUUUUUCAUUUUCAGCUGUACAGAUAUCAGGUGUGAAAUCCUAAGGUUAGGGGCCAGUUUGCUGGACAGUGUUGGAGAUGAACCAGGGCGCGCUGCAAUAACACACAUAGCACAAGAUGGUAGAAUCUCCACCCCUUGUCCUCUUGGUAUUUUGUCUCCAAGGAUGGGGUUGAUGGGAUGGCGUCGAUGGGAUCGCCACAACCUGGAACUCCUCGAAGGGAAAACG